This 466-nucleotide ribosomal RNA is filed under the name uncultured organism. Its description in RNAcentral is "partial 16S ribosomal RNA". It matches the Rfam family "Bacterial small subunit ribosomal RNA", at positions 335 to 797 of the family's 1533-position model. The record is from RNAcentral.
ACUCCUGCGGGAGGCAGCAGUGAGGAAUAUUGGACAAUGGGUGGAAGCCUGAUCCAGCCAUCCCGCGUGCAGGAAGACGGCCCUAUGGGUUGUAAACUGCUUUUAUCUGGGGAUAAACCUACUUACGUGUAAGUAGCUGAAGGUACCAGAAGAAUAAGCACCGGCUAACUCCGUGCCAGCAGCCGCGGUAAUACGGAGGGUGCACGCGUUAUCCGGAUUUAUUGGGUUUAAAGGGUCCGUAGGCGGACUGAUAAGUCAGUGGUGAAAUCCGACAGCUUAACUGUCGAACUGCCAUUGAUACUGUUAGUCUUGAGUAAGGUUGAAGUGGCUGGAAUAAGUAGUGUAGCGGUGAAAUGCAUAGAUAUUACUUAGAACACCAAUUGCGAAGGCAGGUCACUAAGUCUUAACUGACGCUGAUGGACGAAAGCGUGGGGAGCGAACAGGAUUAGAAACCCCGGUAGUCCCA